CUAGUAACGGCCGCCAGUGUGCUGGAAUUCGCCCUUCAGGCCUAACACAUGCAAGUCGAGGGGCAGCAUUUUAGUUUGCUUGCAAACUGAAGAUGGCGACCGGCGCACGGGUGAGUAACACGUAUCCAACCUGCCGAUAACUCCGGAAUAGCCUUUCGAAAGAAAGAUUAAUACCGGAUGGCAUACGAAUAUCGCAUGAUAUUUUUAUUAAAGAAUUUCGGUUAUCGAUGGGGAUGCGUUCCAUUAGUUUGUUGGCGGGGUAACGGCCCACCAAGACUACGAUGGAUAGGGGUUCUGAGAGGAAGGUCCCCCACAUUGGAACUGAGACACGGUCCAAACUCCUACGGGAGGCAGCAGUGAGGAAUAUUGGUCAAUGGGCGCGAGCCUGAACCAGCCAAGUAGCGUGAAGGAUGAAGGCUCUAUGGGUCGUAAACUUCUUUUAUUUGGGAAUAAAGUUUUCCACGUGUGGAAUUUUGUAUGUACCAUAUGAAUAAGGAUCGGCUAACUCCGUGCCAGCAGCCGCGGUAAUACGGAGGAUCCGAGCGUUAUCCGGAUUUAUUGGGUUUAAAGGGAGCGUAGGUGGAUUGUUAAGUCAGUUGUGAAAGUUUGCGGCUCAACCGUAAAAUUGCAGUUGAAACUGGCAGUCUUGAGUACAGUAGAGGUGGGCGGAAUUCGUGGUGUAGCGGUGAAAUGCUUAGAUAUCACGAAGAACUCCGAUUGCGAAGGCAGCUCACUAGACUGUUACUGACACUGAUGCUCGAAAGUGUGGGUAUCAAACAGGAUUAGAUACCCUGGUAGUCCACACAGUAAACGAUGAAUACUCGCUGUUUGCGAUAUACAGUAAGCGGCCAAGCGAAAGCAUUAAGUAUUCCACCUGGGGAGUACGCCGGCAACGGUGAAACUCAAAGGAAUUGACGGGGGCCCGCACAAGCGGAGGAACAUGUGGUUUAAUUCGAUGAUACGCGAGGAACCUUACCCGGGCUUAAAUUGCAACAGAAUAUAUUGGAAACAGUAUAGCCG
RNAcentral lists this ribosomal RNA (1020 nucleotides) under uncultured bacterium. RNAcentral describes it as "bacterial SSU rRNA". It matches the Rfam family "Bacterial small subunit ribosomal RNA", at positions 1 to 1017 of the family's 1533-position model. The record is from RNAcentral.